This 323-nucleotide long non-coding RNA is filed under the name Bos taurus (domestic cattle). RNAcentral describes it as "long non-coding RNA NONBTAT006622". The record is from RNAcentral. Lineage: Eukaryota; Metazoa; Chordata; Mammalia; Artiodactyla; Bovidae.
GCCUUUCAUUCUUGAUCAAAAUUAUUUUAUUUCCAAGCGCACCUGCAUCUUAGACAAGCCGGCUUUGAGGCUCCCUUCUGUUCCUUUUUGUCUUUUGCCCAGGUAGGUCUUUAAUGCUUGGAAAAACACUUUUGCUUGUUAGCCAACCUUUGCCCAUCCUGUACUUAAACACUUUAAUGAAAUAUUUAACAAAAAUUAAUUCACAUUCACUUUUAGUCAUUCUUACUUUUGGCAAAGUAAAAUAUAUGUAAAACAAGUUUUAAAAGUUUAGAGGCAAUUGGGAAAGAAAUAUGAAAAUGCAAGAUAACCAUGUGAUAAGGAUG